RNAcentral lists this ribosomal RNA (265 nucleotides) under uncultured bacterium. RNAcentral describes it as "partial 16S ribosomal RNA". It matches the Rfam family "Bacterial small subunit ribosomal RNA", at positions 793 to 1055 of the family's 1533-position model. The record is from RNAcentral.
GUCCUUGCCUUAAACGAUGUAUACUUGGUGUAGUUAGGCUCAACCCUGACUGUACCGUAGCCAACGCGAUAAGUAUACCGCCUGGGGAGUACGCUCGCAAGGGUAAACUCAAAAGAAUUGACGGGGACCCGCACAAGCAGUGGAGCAUGUGGUUUAAUUCGAUGCAACGCGAAGAACCUUACCUGGAUUUUGACAUGCAGUUGACCGCCACAGAAAUGUGGUUUUCUCGCAAGAGACAGCUGCACAGGUGCUGCAUGGCUGUCGU